RNAcentral lists this ribosomal RNA (432 nucleotides) under uncultured bacterium. Its description in RNAcentral is "bacterial SSU rRNA". It matches the Rfam family "Bacterial small subunit ribosomal RNA", at positions 340 to 786 of the family's 1533-position model. The record is from RNAcentral.
UACGGAAGGCAGCAGUGGGGAAUAUUGGACAAUGGGCGAAAGCCUGAUCCAGCCAUGCCGCAUGAGUGAAGAAGGCCUUCGGGUUGUAAAGCUCUUUUAGUGAGAAAGAUAAUGACGGUACUCACAGAAGAAGUCCUGGCUAACUCCGUGCCAGCAGCCGCGGUAAUACGGAGAGGGCUAGCGUUAUUCGGAAUUAUUGGGCGUAAAGAGCGCGUAGGCUGAUUAGUAAGUUAAAAGUGAAAUCCCAAAGCUUAACUUUGGAAUUGCUUUUUAAAACUGCUAGUCUAGAGAUUGAAAGAGGAUAGAGGAAUUCCUAGUGUAGAGGUGAAAUUCGUAAAUAUUAGGAGGAACACCAGUGGCGAAGGCGUCUAUCUGGUUCAAAUCUGACGCUGAGGCGCGAAGGCGUGGGGAGCGAAACAGGGAUUAGAUACC